RNAcentral lists this small RNA (360 nucleotides) under Pan troglodytes (chimpanzee). RNAcentral's name for it is "retained intron". Lineage: Eukaryota; Metazoa; Chordata; Mammalia; Primates; Hominidae. The record is from RNAcentral.
UCUGAAUGCUGAAGUAAAAUAUUCCAGUUUUAAAAGUAUGCCAAUUUUCAGUGGGAAUAUAUUUUAUAUGUUUUUGAAUAAUAAUCAAGAAUUUUAUUUUUUUUCCUCCUCGCAAUGAUGUCUCAAGGUAGUCAGUUUUUGUAUUCAACUUUUGGCUAUACCCUACUGGCAGCCAUAGUAGAGAGAGCUUCAGGAUGUAAAUAUUUGGACUAUAUGCAGAAAAUAUUCCAUGACUUGGAUAUGCUGACGACUGUGCAGGAAGAAAACGAGCCAGUGAUUUACAAUAGAGCAAGAUUUUAUGUUUACAAUAAAAAGAAACGUCUUGUCAACACACCUUACGUGGAUAACUCCUAUAAAUGG